GAGGGUAUAACUCAAGUGGCAGAGCACAUGCCUGGCAUGCACAAGGCCCUGGGUUCAACCCCAGUACCUCCA
Molecule: transfer RNA, 72 nt
Filed under: Camelus bactrianus (Bactrian camel)
Lineage: Eukaryota; Metazoa; Chordata; Mammalia; Artiodactyla; Camelidae
Also listed under: 1 other name
Rfam family: tRNA
About the family: Transfer RNA (tRNA) molecules are approximately 80 nucleotides in length. Their secondary structure includes four short double-helical elements and three loops (D, anti-codon, and T loops). Further hydrogen bonds mediate the characteristic L-shaped molecular structure. tRNAs have two regions of fundamental functional importance: the anti-codon, which is responsible for specific mRNA codon recognition, and the 3' end, to which the tRNAs corresponding amino acid is attached (by aminoacyl-tRNA synthetases). tRNAs cope with the degeneracy of the genetic code in two manners: having more than one tRNA (with a specific anti-codon) for a particular amino acid; and 'wobble' base-pairing, i.e. permitting non-standard base-pairing at the 3rd anti-codon position.
Source: Rfam by way of RNAcentral